UUCAACAUACAGAAUAACACCCAGUUCUCAUCCCGUCCAGUGCCCACCUCACUAUUUUUUUUUAAAAAAACAGUAUAUUUAUGUCAAACAAUACUACUCGGCAAUAGAAAGGAAAAAAAAAACACUAUCAGAGGCAUUAGCCUCCAAAAUAUUAUGCAAAGUGAAUAAUGCCUUACACAGAACAGUACAUAUUAUAUAAACCCAUUUGUAUUAAGUUCUCAAAAAGGCAAUAGUUAAUCUGUAGUAGGGGAAAAAUGUCAAAUAAUGAUUGCCUCUGGGGAGUAGGGACAAGAUACUGACAAGGGAAGGGCUUAGGAAACUUUGUAGCACCACGGUAGGAUUUUAUUUAUAUCUUGAAAAAAGUCUGGGUUACAGUGGUGCAUGCAUUUGUUAAAAUUCAGCAAGUGGACACUAGAGAGAUGUGUAUUACAUUUUAUAUAUCAGCUCAUCCUCUAUGACAGAGCAUCGCGCGCAUACCCCAUUGGGACCACACUUGCCCAAAGAGGGCAAAGGCCACGGUGUGGAAGCUUGGCCACCGCAGCUGCUUCCGCAGACCAGGCAGCGGGGCCCGCCCGCAUACACAACUUCAAAAAUCAAAUGAGGUUGUAUAUAAUACUAUAUUCUUGUUAAUGAGAUGCAAGCUAAUGUAUUUAGGGAAAUGCUGCUAAUAUCUGCAAUUUACUUUCAAAUACACCAAAAAUAGAAUGGAUUACUGGAUGGAUAGAUGAAUAUGCAGGUGGGUAUUUGAUAAAGCAUGUAUAGCAAACUUUUAAAUGUAGACUCUAAAUGGAAAAUACAUGGAUGUUCCAUGUAAAUUUUUUUAAAAUUUUGCUGUAUAUUUAAUUAUUUUUAUAAUAAAAUGACUCCAGUCCAGAGAUUGUGAUUUAAUUACUUAGGGAGUAUGACCUAGACAUUGCUUUUGUUUUGUUUUGUUUUGUUUAGUUUUAGAAAAGCUUUUCAGGUUAUUCUAAUGUAUAGUACUCAGAUUCAAGAAUAACUUCACCAAUAUUUUCUAACUUCACCCCAGGGAAUAUAAACCAUUUCCUGCAUAUACAGCUGAUCCUUGAACAGCAUGGGUUUGAACUGCAUGGAUUCAUUUAUAUAAGAAAUUUUUACAGUAGUACUGUAAAUAUGUUUUCUUUUCCUUAGGAUUUUCUUAGUAACAUUUUAUUUUUCCUUACCUGAUUAUCAGAAUAUAGUAUAUAAUACAUACAACAUACAAAUAUGUGUUGACUAAUGUUAUUGAUACAGCUUCCAGACAAUAAUAUGCUAUUAGUAGUUAGGUUUUUUGGGGGAGUCAAAAGAUAUAUGCAAAUUUGAGUAACCUCCACACUAUUCAAUAAUCAACUGUAUUCAGUCAGAAGUAAGAAUUCUUUAAAUUUUACAAACCUUUUACAAACAUAAUGCUGCAGCCUUGCUGACUGUGAGCACUACCCUACAUGAGGGACCACAUCACCCUGCCUUACCUAUGGCAUCAGUCCCUGUGAUUGCUGGCCUUGGCAAUAAUCAAGCCCAAAUGAACUAAGCCCAUUCAUUUUCCCUAAGGAAUCAGCACUAUCUGAAUUGCUACCCUUUGCCUUUGAUUUCCCCCCAUCAUAGCUUCUUUUGUCCUGCUUGUUGCACUGAGAGCCACUGUUUGCCUGCAAACAAAUCCUGCUUGAGUUAUCAAUGACAAAAUUCAGGUAUCAGAUAAUAAGACUGAACGAGAAUAUAUUAUAGGUAAUGCCUUAUUUGACUACGUCUAAGUUGUUCCUCGAAGAACAUGAUUUUAUUUUAUCUGAUAAAAGAGUAAAAUUAUCACCUUUCCUUAUCAUCAUCAAGAUAGGUUUUUAUUACAUAUUAAUAUAUUUAAUUGUAUUACACACACAUAUAUGUAUAACACAUUAUUACAGAAUACAUUACUCCAGGUACAUGCAUAUAUGUUUCAUUAUGUGGGAUGGAAGGCAAAACAAAAGACCCUCAUUGUCUGUGGAUAAAAGCUGAGUGAUAAUUCUCUGUUAACAAACAAAGAAAAGAAAAACAAGUGUUUAGCAGAAAAUAUAUAGACACUCCAGCAAUAUAUAGAUUUUUCUUCCCAAACUGGACUGUGAACUCUUGUGCAGACAAGUAUGUUCUACUCAACUUUGAGUUUCCACUGUCAACACAGCAUAUGGCAUAUGAAGGGUUUUCAAUCGGUAAUUGAGGCUCAUGUAAAACCAAUCCAACUAAAAAGGUCUGUAUUCUUAUAUCAUGUAGCUCACAUGCAUCUAUGUGCCUGUAAAAAUUCUAUAAUUUCAAGGUUAAGUCCUACAGUCACUUUGUAUAAUAGUUGUUAAUACUGCUCUUUACAAUUAAGAAAACUGAGGCUUAUAGAGGUGAAGACAUCUUGCCAAAUUUGUCACAUUCAGAAAGUGGCAAUGACAAUAUUCUAGCCCAGGUCUAACUACCAAAAUUGUGCUCUUUUUAUCACAUCAAUCUACUUCCUACAGAGCUCAACAGAAGCAAGAAACUGUGAACCUGUCUCUCACAUGUCACAGUAUCAAUGAGGAUACUUUGGUUCUCUCAAAACCUUGAACAGAGUUCAUCACCACCACUGGAGAGCACAUAAUGUUUCCAAUAAAAUAUUUCCCCUUUAUUAUUUGUCUGACAAGCAAAGACCAGACACUCCCCUUUACCCUCUUCUUCAAGUCAUCAGACAAUUCUGAUGUUUGAGUGGAAGGAACCUGUCACAGGUAUUGUUCAUCAUUUUCCUUCAAAAGAAGGAUGUGUGCAAGCUAUACUACUGAGUAGUAUAAAUCACACACUCACCAUUGCUGCUAUGUUUAGUCUGAUGAGGGAGAGAGAAAUAAACUGCUGGCGAACAAUCAGAACUGAUGGCCUUUUUUCUGUGACAUGUCAGGCUGCUUGUAGUGCCAAUUGUCAUGGCAUCAUUUAUCUUUGUUACCAGCACCCUGAGUUAAGCAAGAAUCAGGUAUAGAAAAUGGCCUUUGCCAAGUGAAUUACUUCAGAUUGCUGUAAACACCUUCUUGGGACCAUUUACAUCUUUGACUGUGAUGCUCCCAAGUUAUCCUAUCCUAUUCUGUUUUGACAGGAGUGGAGGUUCCACAAAGCUUACAGCAUUGUAAGCUGGAACUCAGUAUAUAGCAACAAUCAAAUAUACAUGUAGUAACUAGUAGCCUAAUAAAUUUCCUUUAUACAUGAUAGGUUAAAUCAUAUCUUAGGGGAUAAAAGUUUUGGGAUGCAUCGAGCGAGCUUGCUCAU
Molecule: long non-coding RNA, 3240 nt
Filed under: Canis lupus familiaris (dog)
Lineage: Eukaryota; Metazoa; Chordata; Mammalia; Carnivora; Canidae
Description: lncRNA (ENSCAFG00845006163.1)
Source: RNAcentral